RNAcentral lists this long non-coding RNA (378 nucleotides) under Sorghum bicolor (sorghum). Its description in RNAcentral is "long non-coding RNA (SBIC_LNC016783)". Lineage: Eukaryota; Viridiplantae; Streptophyta; Magnoliopsida; Poales; Poaceae. The record is from RNAcentral.
AAAUUCAAGAGUUAAGUACAAAGAUGGUAUCACCAUGCAAUUUGAGAGGCUACUAGUUUCUUGUGGCCGUGUUAUUAUAAGUUUUCUUUUUUGAGAUUACACGAUACAAUGUAAACACUCAACACGCACGCACACUCACCCCUAUGAACACACGUACGCAAACUCUACCCCUAUGAGCACCUUCGAAGGACUGAGCCAGCAAAUCUUGAAGUUCACAAAGUCACCACAGGCGCCUCGCUGUCGACGGGCACGUCGCCUACCACUUAAAGCAUAGCGCCGGAAAAUCCUAGAAUAAAUCCAGAAUAAAGUGCCGCACCCAGGAUUUGAACCCUGGGUAGGAGCCCCCCAACCAAUGGCCUUUGCCAUUGCGCCGUGAAC